AUUGAACGCUGGCGGCAUGCCUUACACAUGCAAGUCGAACGGUAACGGGCCUUCGGGUGCCGACGAGUGGCGAACGGGUGAGUAAUGCAUCGGAACGUACCUUUCAGUGGGGGAUAACGUAGCGAAAGUUACGCUAAUACCGCAUAUUCUGUACGCAGGAAAGCAGGGGAUCGCAAGACCUUGCGCUGAUUGAGCGGCCGAUGUCAGAUUAGCUAGUUGGUGAGGUAAAGGCUCACCAAGGCGACGAUCUGUAGCGGGUCUGAGAGGAUGAUCCGCCACACUGGAACUGAGACACGGUCCAGACUCCUACGGGAGGCAGCAGUGGGGAAUUUUGGACAAUGGGGGCAACCCUGAUCCAGCCAUGCCGCGUGAGUGAAGAAGGCCUUCGGGUUGUAAAGCUCUUUCGGCCGGGAAGAAAUCGCACAGGCUAAUACCCUGUGUGGAUGACGGUACCGGAAUAAGAAGCACCGGCUAACUACGUG
Molecule: ribosomal RNA, 482 nt
Filed under: uncultured bacterium
Lineage: Bacteria
Description: bacterial SSU rRNA
Rfam family: Bacterial small subunit ribosomal RNA
Source: RNAcentral